UACGAGGGGGGCAAGCGUUGUUCGGAAUUAUUGGGCGUAAAGGGUGCGUAGGCGGUUUGGUAAGUCUGAUGUGAAAUUCCCGGGCUUAACCUGGGGACUGCAUUUGAUACGUGUCGUCUUGAGUUCGGAAGAGGGUCGUGGAAUUCCCAGUGUAGAGGUGAAUUCGUAGAUAUUGGGAAGAACACCGGUGGCGAAGGCGGCGACCUGGUCCGAUACUGACGCUGAGGCGCGAAAGCGUGGGGAGCAAACAGG
This 252-nucleotide ribosomal RNA is filed under the name uncultured bacterium. RNAcentral describes it as "partial 16S ribosomal RNA". It matches the Rfam family "Bacterial small subunit ribosomal RNA", at positions 524 to 776 of the family's 1533-position model. The record is from RNAcentral.